GUCUUUUGCUACCACGCUACCCUGCAGACCCUGAUUCACCAGGCAGCAAAAAAAUAAAAAUAGCUACCACACUGCCAGGUGAAUCAGGUGUUUUGCAGGGUAGCACGGUAGCAAAAGAC
Non-coding RNA from Podarcis lilfordi (Lilford's wall lizard), 119 nucleotides. The record is from the annotation of a GenBank genome assembly. NCBI's taxonomy places the organism in Eukaryota, Metazoa, Chordata, Lepidosauria, Squamata, Lacertidae.